This 199-nucleotide microRNA precursor is filed under the name Dichanthelium oligosanthes. Its description in RNAcentral is "MIR1435 microRNA precursor family". It matches the Rfam family "MIR1435 microRNA precursor family". The record is from Rfam by way of RNAcentral. Lineage: Eukaryota; Viridiplantae; Streptophyta; Magnoliopsida; Poales; Poaceae.
UUGGUUUGUUCUAAAUCAAACUUGUCCAAUUUUAACUAAAUUUAUAGAAAAAUAUAACAACAAUCAUACUACCAAAUAUAUGUCUAUCAAAAUAUAUCCUAUGGUAGAUUUAAUGAAACAAGUUUGGUAUUAUAAAUAUUGUUAUAUUUUUCUAUAAAUAUGGUCAAAUUUUGCUGAGUUUGACUUAGGACAAACUAAA